UACGUAGGGUGCGAGCGUUAAUCGGAAUUACUGGGCGUAAAGCGUGCGCAGGCGGUUCGUUGUGUCGGCGGUGAAAGCCCCGGGCUUAACCUGGGAAUGGCCGUUGAAACUGGCGAACUGGAGUGUGGCAGAGGGGGGUGGAAUUCCGCGUGUAGCAGUGAAAUGCGUAGAGAUGCGGAGGAACACCGAUGGCGAAGGCAGCCCCCCUGGGCUAACACUGACGCUCAGGCACGAAAGCGUGGGGAGCAAACAGG
This 254-nucleotide ribosomal RNA is filed under the name uncultured bacterium. Its description in RNAcentral is "partial 16S ribosomal RNA". It matches the Rfam family "Bacterial small subunit ribosomal RNA", at positions 524 to 776 of the family's 1533-position model. The record is from RNAcentral.